GACGAACGCUGGCGGCGUGCUUAACACAUGCAAGUCGAACGGAAAGGCCCUGCUUUUGUGGGGUGCUCGAGUGGCGAACGGGUGAGUAACACGUGAGUAACCUGCCCAUGACUGUGGGAUAACUUCAGGAAACUGGGGCUAAUACCGGAUAGGAGCGCCUGCUGCAGGGGGGGGGUUGGAAAGUUUCGGCGGUGGGGGAUGGACUCGCGGCUUAUCAGCUGGUUGGUGGGGUAGUGGCUUACCAAGGCAUUGACGGGUAGCCGGCCUGGGAGGGUGACCGGCCACCUUGGUACUGCGAUACGGCCCAGACUCCUACGGGGGGCAGCAGUGGGGAAUAUUGCACAAUGGGCGGAAGCCUGAUGCAGCAACGCCGCGUGCGGGAUGACGGCCUUCGGGUUGUAAACCGCUUUCGCCUGUGACGAAGCGGGAGUGACGGUAAUGGGUAAAGAAGCACCGGCUAACUACGUG
RNAcentral lists this ribosomal RNA (468 nucleotides) under uncultured bacterium. RNAcentral's name for it is "partial 16S ribosomal RNA". It matches the Rfam family "Bacterial small subunit ribosomal RNA", at positions 28 to 507 of the family's 1533-position model. The record is from RNAcentral.